Long non-coding RNA from Coregonus clupeaformis (lake whitefish), 413 nucleotides. RefSeq lists it as uncharacterized. The record is from RefSeq and is a predicted model, not a curated record. NCBI's taxonomy places the organism in Eukaryota, Metazoa, Chordata, Actinopteri, Salmoniformes, Salmonidae. The transcript has 2 exons.
UCUAGAAUUACAACACAACCAUCUUGGUCCCGCAGGCCGAGGAGCACUAGUGGAUUGGAAAUGUCAUGGCGUAACAUUACAGUGACAUUAGAAGGUGAUACCGCUUGCAUGCAGCAAGGCAACAUUUGGCAAAGAGACUUAACCCAGGGACAGGGUCCCUCUGUGGACAGCAGUACUUUGAUGGGGGGUGACUAGGGAAAACCUAAAAUCAGGCUUCAAAUCUGUCAUUUUCACUCAGUGAUAUGAAAUCAAAUGAAACACCCCAGAGGCAAUCAACAACCCAAUUUCAGUUCCACAAUUUUUAAAAUAAAAUCUUUGUUACUUUAUUUUAUGUUGCAUUUCAUUGAAAUACAUGUAAGAUGUGAAAUAUAAAACAUUUGCAAAAUAAUAUUAAAAAAAAUAUAUUUAAUACA